RNAcentral lists this long non-coding RNA (840 nucleotides) under Mus pahari (shrew mouse). RNAcentral's name for it is "expressed sequence AU016765 (MGP_PahariEiJ_G0004860.1)". Lineage: Eukaryota; Metazoa; Chordata; Mammalia; Rodentia; Muridae. The record is from RNAcentral.
CUGACUCAGGAGACAGACAGACGGCUUCAGUAAGUCCGACUUCCCACCAGCUGUUCUGAUCUUCCAGGCUCACUUCAUCCGGCCAGGCGGAACUUGGCGACACGUGAUCCCACACAAGACUACGCCAAGCUGAGUCUUACUGGGGAUCCGUGCUGGAGUGGACUGGAGCGGACUGGAGCGGAGGUCAGGAGGUGAGAAGCUUGCUGAGAGAGAAGGUAGUCAGGGUGCCUCGAAGGCAGUCGGGGGAACGCCAAGCCUCUUCUAUCCAGCUGGAUCAUUCUGCCUGGGGCUGGCAAAAAAAUCUGCCCAUUCUGAGCUAUCAACAGAUACAGAGGCCUAAUGAGAAGAGAUGUGGGUCAAAGAAAGUAAGCCUUUAAAGACACACUUAUAGCCUGUGCUGUCCCCUGAGGGUGCCUUGUUACCUUACCCUGCUCCAACGCACACAGCAUAACUUCUUUUCCUGGUCACUCUGAUCUCCAGGUUUCUGAGAUUCCAGAGUGAUAUGCCUUGAUGUCUCUUUCCUUAUGUUUCAUGUGUCUAAGCUUCAGUGAGCUUCUAAGAACUAAGGCUUGUCCAGGAGUACUGGUCAGCUAAGCUCCUCGGUGCCACCAAGAAUAGCUGUUCAAACAGUCAUCCUUCAGUCAUAGGAAAGCUUCGGUACGGAGAAAGGGUGUGCAUCUAUCCGUGGCUGGUGCAUCUCCAAAUGAUUUCAAUUUAUGAUGAUAUUUGAAUACAGAAAAAUAAACGAAAACACUAGCACAUUUGACAUUUGAAAUUAUGCUGAUUGGCUGGCAUAUUUUAAAACACAUCAAAUAAAGACAGGCAUCAAUGUUUGACAAA